AACGCACAUUGCACCUCUUGGUAAUCCUUGAGGUAUACUUGUUCGAGCGCCGUUUAAAUUCUAAGGCUUUGCCUUGUGUUGAUGUUUUUAUCGCUUAAUCGCGAUUCAUCAAAAUAAAUUGGCGUCUGUUUUUUUAGCCAGAAACGCAGUGAAAAUGCGAAGAAGGUUUAUUAACAAACAGCCUAUUUUUUUAUUCCUAUCCGACAGCUUUGCUGUCAGAAAAGAAAAAUCAAAAAACAUGGCCUCGAAUCAAGUAGGGAUACCCGCUGAACUUAA
RNAcentral lists this unclassified non-coding RNA (276 nucleotides) under uncultured fungus. RNAcentral's name for it is "sequence contains ITS2". Lineage: Eukaryota; Fungi. The record is from RNAcentral.